AUCGCAGCCAACUUCACUCGCUUCACUUUCUUGGAAAACGUGCAACGGAACGAACAUUCCCUUCGCUACUAAAAUUAAUUAACAAAAUGUAAACCAACAAUAAUAAAGUGCAGCGUGCAAUCGCUGGCAAAUGUGUCUUGAAACAAAAUGGAGUUGAAAUUCAACACGUGCUUGCAGGCCAAAGAUGUUCACCCUAGAUGAUGGAUAUUCCAGACCUCUGUUUAAUUAUGAUGAUAUCCAAAAGGGAGACUUCUUGGUCCACGUGUUGAAAUGUCCAUGAAAAUAUGCUGGACUUUAUCAUCUUAGGACAAAAUAGGACCAAACUGAAGAGAAAGUUGAGAGCAAGAAGAAUUGGAUUUCCUGCCCAAUUGAAGACCGGCCAACCUACUAAGAAGAUUUUCCAAAACGCUUGAAACCUUCAAUGCCAGAUUAAAUUCAUCAACGAUCUACCAAGAUAUGGCUCCUUGGCGGAAAACACCCGUAUCCGGUCAACACGGCGGCGAUGCCAGCGACCAACAGCCCCUGGCUGGGAUCAGAAGAUUUAACAUACAAAAAGAAGAACAAACAACUUGUUUACCACACAUUGAAUAAAAACCUCAAUUUAAAAUAUUAGAAA
Molecule: long non-coding RNA, 616 nt
Organism: Drosophila biarmipes
Lineage: Eukaryota; Metazoa; Arthropoda; Insecta; Diptera; Drosophilidae
Exons: 8
Source: RefSeq, a predicted model, not a curated record